UACAGGGGGGGCAAGCGUUGUUCGGAAUUACUGGGCGUAAAGGGCUCGUAGGUGGCCAACUAAGUCAGACGUGAAAUCCCUCAGCUUAACUGGGGAACUGCGUCUGAUACUGGAUGGCUUGGAUUCGGGAGAGGAAUGCGGAAUUCCAGGUGUAGCGGUGAAAUGCGUAGAUAUCUGGAGGAACACCGGUGGCGAAGGCGGCAUUCUGGACCGACAUUGACGCUGAGGAGCGAAAGCCAGGGGAGCAAACGGG
RNAcentral lists this ribosomal RNA (253 nucleotides) under uncultured bacterium. RNAcentral's name for it is "partial 16S ribosomal RNA". It matches the Rfam family "Bacterial small subunit ribosomal RNA", at positions 524 to 776 of the family's 1533-position model. The record is from RNAcentral.